CUGGUGGCGAGUGGCGAACUUGCCGAGUAAUAUAUGGAGAAAGUGCCCAGUCGUGGGGGAUAACGUAGUGAAAAUUACGCUAAUACCGCAUACGAUCUAUGGAUGAAAGCGGGGGAUCGCAAGACCUCGCGCGAUUGGAGCGGCCGAUAUCAGAUUAGGUAGUUGGUGAGGUAAAGGCUCACCAAGCCGACGAUCUGUAGCUGGUCUGAGAGGACGACCAGCCACACUGGGACUGAUUAACGGCCCAGACUCCUACGGGAGGCAGCAGUGGG
This 272-nucleotide ribosomal RNA is filed under the name uncultured bacterium. Its description in RNAcentral is "partial 16S ribosomal RNA". It matches the Rfam family "Bacterial small subunit ribosomal RNA", at positions 85 to 358 of the family's 1533-position model. The record is from RNAcentral.